RNAcentral lists this ribosomal RNA (1267 nucleotides) under Pseudomonas koreensis. RNAcentral's name for it is "bacterial SSU rRNA". It matches the Rfam family "Bacterial small subunit ribosomal RNA", at positions 76 to 1325 of the family's 1533-position model. The record is from RNAcentral. Lineage: Bacteria; Pseudomonadati; Pseudomonadota; Gammaproteobacteria; Pseudomonadales; Pseudomonadaceae.
GAGCUUGCUCCUGGAUUCAGCGGCGGACGGGUGAGUAAUGCCUAGGAAUCUGCCUGGUAGUGGGGGACAACGUUUCGAAAGGAACGCUAAUACCGCAUACGUCCUACGGGAGAAAGCAGGGGACCUUCGGGCCUUGCGCUAUCAGAUGAGCCUAGGUCGGAUUAGCUAGUUGGUGAGGUAAUGGCUCACCAAGGCGACGAUCCGUAACUGGUCUGAGAGGAUGAUCAGUCACACUGGAACUGAGACACGGUCCAGACUCCUACGGGAGGCAGCAGUGGGGAAUAUUGGACAAUGGGCGAAAGCCUGAUCCAGCCAUGCCGCGUGUGUGAAGAAGGUCUUCGGAUUGUAAAGCACUUUAAGUUGGGAGGAAGGGUUGUAGAUUAAUACUCUGCAAUUUUGACGUUACCGACAGAAUAAGCACCGGCUAACUCUGUGCCAGCAGCCGCGGUAAUACAGAGGGUGCAAGCGUUAAUCGGAAUUACUGGGCGUAAAGCGCGCGUAGGUGGUUUGUUAAGUUGGAUGUGAAAUCCCCGGGCUCAACCUGGGAACUGCAUCCAAAACUGGCAAGCUAGAGUAUGGUAGAGGGUGGUGGAAUUUCCUGUGUAGCGGUGAAAUGCGUAGAUAUAGGAAGGAACACCCAGUGGCGAACGCCACCACCCGCACUGAUAUCUCCGACACUUUGACGUGCGAAAGCGGGGCGAGCUAAUCAAGGAUUAGAUACCCGUGGGUAGUCCACGCAGUAAACGAUGUCAACUAGACAGUUGGGAGCGCUUGAGCUCUUACCGAGCGCAGCUAACGCAUUAAGUUGACCGCCUGGGGAGUACGGCCGCAAGGUUAAAACUCAAAUGAAUUGACGGGGGCCCGCACAAGCGGUGGAGCAUGUGGUUUAAUUCGAAGCAACGCGAAGAACCUUACCAGGCCUUGACAUCCAAUGAACUUUCCAGAGAUGGAUUGGUGCCUUCGGGAACAUUGAGACAGGUGCUGCAUGGCUGUCGUCAGCUCGUGUCGUGAGAUGUUGGGUUAAGUCCCGUAACGAGCGCAACCCUUGUCCUUAGUUACCAGCACGUAAUGGUGGGCACUCUAAGGAGACUGCCGGUGACAAACCGGAGGAAGGUGGGGAUGACGUCAAGUCAUCAUGGCCCUUACGGCCUGGGCUACACACGUGCUACAAUGGUCGGUACAGAGGGUUGCCAAGCCGCGAGGUGGAGCUAAUCCCACAAAACCGAUCGUAGUCCGGAUCGCUAGUCUGCAACUCGACUGCGUGAAG